Molecule: ribosomal RNA, 117 nt
Filed under: Holosporaceae bacterium
Lineage: Bacteria; Pseudomonadati; Pseudomonadota; Alphaproteobacteria; Holosporales; Holosporaceae
Source: RNAcentral
CCUGGUGGUCAUGGCGGGGAAUUAAACGCUCCAUUCCAUCCCGAACUGGAAAGCGAAGGUCCCCUGCGGCGAUGGUACUGUGUCCUUGAGGCGUGGGAGAGUAGCACGCUGCCAGGC